This 23-nucleotide non-coding RNA is filed under the name Arabidopsis thaliana (thale cress). Lineage: Eukaryota; Viridiplantae; Streptophyta; Magnoliopsida; Brassicales; Brassicaceae. The record is from RNAcentral.
ACCAACUGAAAAGAGACCCCUCG